GACGAACCGUGCGAACGUUGUUCGGAAUCACUGGGCUUAAAGGGCGCGUAGGUGGUCUGUCAAGUCGGGGGUGAAAUCUUUCGGCUCAACCGGAAAACUGCCUUCGAUACUGGCAGGCUCGAGGGAGGUAGGGGUUGCGGGAACUACCAGUGGAGCGGUGAAAUGCGUUGAUAUUGGUAGGAACGCCGGUGGCGAAAGCGCGCAACUGGACCUCUUCUGACACUGAGGCGCGAAAGCUAGGGGAGCAAACGGG
This 253-nucleotide ribosomal RNA is filed under the name uncultured bacterium. RNAcentral's name for it is "partial 16S ribosomal RNA". It matches the Rfam family "Bacterial small subunit ribosomal RNA", at positions 524 to 776 of the family's 1533-position model. The record is from RNAcentral.